Molecule: ribosomal RNA, 467 nt
Filed under: uncultured bacterium
Lineage: Bacteria
Description: partial 16S ribosomal RNA
Rfam family: Bacterial small subunit ribosomal RNA
Source: RNAcentral
ACGAACGCUGGCGGCGUGCUUAACACAUGCAAGUCGAACGGAAAGGCCCUGCUUUUGUGGGGUGCUCGAGUGGCGAACGGGUGAGUAACACGUGAGUAACCUGCCCUUGACUUUGGGAUAACUUCAGGAAACUGGGGCUAAUACCGGAUAGGAGCUCCUGCUGCAUGGGGGGGGUUGGAAAGUUUCGGCGGUUGGGGCUGGACUCGCGGCUUAUCAGCUUGUUGGUGGGGUAGUGGCUUACCAAGGCUUUGACGGGUAGCCGGCCUGAGAGGGUGACCGGCCACAUUGGGACUGAGAUACGGCCCAGACUCCUACGGGAGGCAGCAGUGGGGAAUAUUGCACAAUGGGCGGAAGCCUGAUGCAGCAACGCCGCGUGCGGGAUGACGGCCUUCGGGUUGUAAACCGCUUUCGCCUGUGACGAAGCGUGAGUGACGGUAAUGGGUAAAGAAGCACCGGCUAACUACGUG